AUCCAUUUCCCAGAAAGUUUAAUAUUAGCUACUGUGUCAGUUCAGGAGAGGGGGAGAUGCAUAAAUUAGUCAGACGUCUACGUUAUGGGGGUAGUGGUCAAAAAGUGACUUGUUUAUCUCGCAAUAUGAAUUUGAAAGUAUGAUGAAAACGCCUGACAGUCUAUUUAAGAGGCGGUAUCUAUAGUGAGGGGAAGACUGUUCCUCUGCAAAACACUGACGUCUAUAACAGACACCACUGGCAGGUAGUAGUGAUAGUUGCUCUGUGGACAAGAGGCUUUUUCUUUCUGUGAUGAUGGGUGACAAAGAAGCAUGCUUAUUUUUACCUGUUGCUCCUGCUGGGACUUGGAUUAAACACUUUCUGUCCACGCCUAAACACUCACUGGAGGAAGCGUCCCACAGUGACCACUGGUCAUCACACCCAUUUUGCACCAGAAAGAGACUUGUGGUGGCCCUUCUGGUCGUUUUGGCCUUGGUUGUCAUGUUGCUGCUUCUACUGCUCAAUUAUUAUUGCAUUGUGGUCUGGCACCUGUGUCAAGAGGAGGAGUCUGUUGUCCCAAUAUUUCAAAACACUACACCAGAGCUGGAAAAGCAGGACUGAGAUGUUACAUGUUUUCUUGUUUUUGUUUUAUUUGGUCCUUUUAUGCAUUAUGUUGCUGUUUUGUUUGUUUGAGGAACUGAAAUGACAGUUUCCCGUGUGAGAUUUUUGUGUGUAUUAAGGAAAUUAUUCACACAUUCAGGUUA
Long non-coding RNA from Rhinichthys klamathensis goyatoka, 741 nucleotides. RefSeq lists it as uncharacterized. The record is from RefSeq and is a predicted model, not a curated record. Lineage: Eukaryota; Metazoa; Chordata; Actinopteri; Cypriniformes; Leuciscidae. The transcript is spliced from 2 exons.